Molecule: ribosomal RNA, 253 nt
Filed under: uncultured bacterium
Lineage: Bacteria
Description: partial 16S ribosomal RNA
Rfam family: Bacterial small subunit ribosomal RNA
Source: RNAcentral
UACGUAGGGGGCAAGCGUUAUCCGGAUUUAUUGGGCGUAAAGAGCGUGUAGGCGGCUAUACAGGUCCGCUGUGAAAACUCGAGGCUCAACCUCGAGACGUCGGUGGAAACCGUAUGGCUAGAGUCCGGAAGAGGAGAGUGGAAUUCCUGGUGUAGCGGUGAAAUGCGCAGAUAUCAGGAAGAACACCCGUGGCGAAGGCGGCUCUCUGGGACGGUACUGACGCUGAGACGCGAAAGCGUGGGGAGCGAACAGG